GCGCUGUGGGGCCGCCUCGGCCCCGCCCCGCCGCCGUGCCUGAGGGCUCGGUCGGGGGAAGGUGGCGGGAGAUGCGCUGAGGGUCCCCAGCGCCCGCCCUGCGCCCCCGGCCUUUUCUGUGCCCGUCACCGCCUCCGGCCGUCCCAGCCGCCUUUGUCUCCUUCCUAGAGCCACCGGCUGAUGGGGCAGCGCGGGAGGCGGACCGCGGCGCUGCGUUCCGCCAGGAGCGGCCGGUGUGUCCCGGCCGCGGGGGCCACGGCAGCCGUGAGUUACCAAGGUCACAGAGGCCUCGGUGAGCCCCGAGACCGCUCCUCACCACCCGCACCUAGCCCUCGGCCCCGGGCAAGAAGUUCACGUGGGCGGAUGGGGUCCGGUGUCCAGCGGGUGAGAAGCAGCAGCGCCCUUGGUGCGGUCCCUGCCAGCUCGGUGAGCUGGACACGUUGUGUACACAGCUGGCACUGUAGUGCAUGCAGGUCUGCUUGCCGGCGAAUGGCAGGGCCGGGCUGGCUCCUUCUUGAGCGAGAUGUUGGUGUAGGUGGCUACAGGAGCCCGUGCCUGUCUGCACAGAAUCACAGAACCAUGGGGCAGCCCAGGCUGGAAGGGAGCUGCUGGAAAGACCAUUGGUCCAACUUUUGUGGGAGGGAGCCCAGAUGAGAUUGUCGAGCACCCAGUCCAGUGGCAGCUUGGAAACCUCCCCUGACAGGGACUCUACCGUCACAUCCCUGUGUUUCAGUCAUUGCUUGUUCUCACCGUAAGAAAAUUUAUGUUGUGCCUUGUCUUCUCCAUGCGGUCCUCUGUGAGGAGAGCCUCCACCCUCUUUGUAGCACUCUGGUAUACUGAGAUUAGCGCCCUGCCUCCAAGCCUUCUCUCCUCAGGGGAGAUAAGAUGUAACUCCUUCCGUCUUUCCUCACAGGCAGGUUGUCCUCACCACUCAGUUUAGUGCUGUCAGCAGCCUGGGUGAAGAUGCUUUCAAAUCCACCACCCAAAUCCUUGUGAAUUUGGACAGCGUGGAGCCCAGUGCCAAUCUCAAGGAGACCCCGAGUUAAAAACACUGAUCAUAACCCUCUGAGUGCAGCCUGUUGGCCAAUUCUCUACCCAUCUUGCAAACCACCCAACCAGUCUGUGUCUUGCCGCUUAGUCCAAGGGAAGGCUGUAAAUGUCUUACAGGACUUCUUAGCUGAAUUCGUUUCUCUGGGUCCCAAACCCAGAGGGGUGUGGAGUGGAACCCUGCUGGAAGUAGAUCAAUGGAGAAUGGGUGUAGGAUUGAUUUUUCAGUUGAGCAGCCAAGUAAGAUGGAGGAAAAUAAUUCAGAAGAUGGCAAAUAUAAAUAUUUUUUUUUCUUCCUUUGCUCUGUGUGUGGGGAAAAACUCAACCCCCCACACCUGUAUCAGAUUAAACGUUGUUUAAUCUGAAAUGGUGCUCGUAAGCUUUCUAAGCCAGAAAGGAAAGCAAAUGGUGUGCUGUUUACUCACUUUCAGUUAUCCUGAAACACAGUAAUAAAGGCACUCCUCCAAGAAGUUGGAGGAGGUUCAGUUUCCCAUUCUGCCUGGCACGAUCUGGAUUUGCAUCUCGCAGAUAGCUCAUCUCAUCAUCUCCUCUACGAGCACAUACAUCUGCUUUAACUCAACUUGCUGUGUUUCUCACCUUCUUGUUUUCUCUUUGGUCGUUGUUUUUUAGUUUGUGUUUUCCUUUCCGUGUUUCUUACACGUGUACCUAUUUUUAUUUUUAAGAAUAAACCCCUUGCAGCUCUGACAGCACACAGCCCAUAGGGCUGGAGCUGUGCACACACAUCUCUUGUGGUUGAAACAGUCAAGGGGGAACAUGCCAUCUGUGAGCAUGAAGCUUUCUUUUCUUGGCACUUCUUUCCAAAUACACCACUGAAAUUUCUGCUGUGGACAGAAAUGCUUAUGUGCCAGAUGACGUUUCUAGUAAAUUAGUUUUGUGUGAGAGGGCUCUGGGAUUUUAGCAGACAGUUCCACCAUAACACUGCAAAAAAUAACAGCCUGAGAAAUCACAGAAUGUACCAGAGUCAGAAAAUGGUGUUGGAACACUGCAAUAAUCAGAUUUUCUUUAAUAAUUAGAUUUUCUUUCCUGCAUGUUUUUAGAGCUGCUUUUCUGAGAAUGAGGAAAUGGCAUACUGCUUGAGCAAAUUCUUAUUUACUCAGUAUUCCCUGAAACAGAAAACUUCACCCUGCUUCUGUGCAGCACGUGGGCUCCCGUGUCGCUGGGCAGCAGACCCUGCUUUGCUGACUUGGUUCAGUAUUUAAUUAUCCCCCUGUGGAGAUGUUAGGAUAUUUUAAAUAUUUAAGUUGCAACACUGAGGCUUCCACACUCAGCUCCUGUGGGCAGCCUUGGAGCAGACAUUCCCUCUGUCUGUGCACAGGAAAGGAGGGAAGGAAUAUGGAAAUACACCCCAAUUAUCUGAGUUUGAAACUGAGCGUCUGACUGAGCAGAAGGAUUUCACUGUCAUGUUGCUUGUCAGACCUGCUUCUUUUGUAUAAAUGAGGAAGAGAAGAAAGGUGCUAAAACUGCCCGAAAUAGAUAUUUUCAUACAAUUUUUAUUACCUGGAGCUGAUAAACAGAAUUCAUGGUUUCAGUCCACUACCCUCCAGUAAGAAUAACAAUUAGUGUUAUUUGGUUACCACCACACAGUCAAGUACAACCACAUAACUGCAGAAAGAGAACAAUGACACGAAAAAAAUUCCCCAAAUCUGGCAAAAAUUUAAAUCACAUGAUUAUGCUCAUAGUUUGGAAGAACGUGUUGUUACUGGGACAUUUUUGUCUCCCCUUCCUUUUGUGCCUUGUGUUUCUUACAUCCCUUACUGUAAUUUAAAUUACAUUAGUAGUUCACUGUGGCAGGAAUGUGUCGUAGAUGCUAAAGCAUUACACUUGCAGGGGUUUUUUUCCUUCUUUGGAAUUUAGUCUCAGCAGUUUAAGAAAGCAAAUGCACUGAUCACCCUCUUGUUGGAAGGUAACACUACCUCAGUUGCAGAGGGAUGGUGAAAACACCAGCAUACCUGCACAAACUGAACUAGAAAUUGUUUCUCCGUUUUGGUUUUCUUUUAUUACUUUGUUUUCAAUUUGUCCAUGCUCUCCUCUAGGCUGGACAGCACUUACUGCUCCUUGCCACUUGCUGCUCUGCACGAGGCUCCAAAUAACUCUCAGUUUAAUUCUUUAAGUAAACUUGGUAUAGUGAGUACUUCUGAAAAAAAAUAUUAAUUGCUUUGAUUUAAUUGCAGCUGAAAACCAUGAUUUUUAAAUGCUCCCAUGCCAGGGGAAACCCAACUUCAGUCAGUCCAAGCACACGAUCCAUAAAUUCCCAAAACCAGAACUGAGUGCCAAAUAAAAUGGCAUUAUCUGCGAAAUCAGGUCGUAAGCAUUCUAAACGGUCCCUAAAAAAGUGCUGGAACAUAUCUGGGCAAAAGCUGUCCGCACAUCACUCUCCUGGCCCUGCAGCACGGAACAGCAGCUGCUCACCUCACGUGGCAGCGCUGUGCUUCGCCUGAGGCAAUGAAAAUUACUCAGAAGAAAACAAGGCAGCCGUACCGGCGGAAGGAAGAGCUGAGGAGCCGCUCCGGGAGCGGGAGGAAAGCAAAGCCUGAGCACCUCUUUGCUACCUGGGCACAGCCUGCUCAGUGCACCCGGGGAGGCUGAGGCCCCACCAGAAAAUGAAUCGGUGCCUGUAAAAUGAAGUGCUUAUCACAACAAGUGAGGCACGAGGAGACAAAAUCACUCUGCUUUUGCAACUCUCAUCUUGGCAUUUUCCAUUACGUGUGUUUUUGACUUUGCACGCUUUGUUCUUUUUUCUUUCUUGGGUUAUCCUGUGGGAUCUUUCAGAUGUGAAUGCAGCAGAGAUCCGGCAGCAGACAAGAGCACUACACUUGUUUGCACUAGCGCAGCCACAGCGAAGCUCAAAGUCCCCGUGUCACAGCUUUACCCAGGUAUAGGCCCCUCGGGGGUGGUGGUUGUUUUCUUCCCUUUGUGGUUUCUUUGGUUACCAGCAUUCCCGCUGGGAUGGACGCUGUAACCGCUCUAGUCAGUGCUUCCUCUCUCUGGUUCAUACCACUUUUCUCUGCAAAACACCAUUUGUUGCUCAAGACCCUGCAACAGCACUUUCACAUCCCCAUCCAGGGAGGGCUUUGCUUCCUUGGAGCUGUAGAAUAAAACUACUGCGGUUCUGAAAUGUCCUCCUUUCGCUGAGUUGUUGGCAUAUUUGGAAGAGGCGGAUGCCACCAGUGACAUAUGGACGUGCUGCACAUGUUGCCUGUGCCCUGUGCAAAGUCAAGUGCUCAGAAAGAAGCCCAGAGAGCUUCCUUGUCCUGCCUGGCUCGGGAAAUGUGGGCACAGAGGCACGAGGAGUGAGCAGGACGUGGGGGUGGUGGAGAGAAAAGAGGAGUGAGCCACACCACAUGCAGGGGAUGGAGCAGCAGCACUGGACUGCUUUGCUUGCUGUGGUAGGAACACAAACUGGCGAUGGAUUUUGGCACACAAUGGUGUCCACAGGGUGAGGCUGGGUACAGUACAGAGGUUUCCCCACUUUUGUGCACAACCCCAGAGCACGAACUUGUCUUUGCUUGGGUUCCCAGAGUGAUUCAAUGCACAUUUCACAGCAUGAACACUCUGUAAGACCAAAGCAGCUCUGCUUACGCAUGUCCUUGUGCUUGAUGUGGUGCACGAGGACUGGUUCUAUUGAUUAGCACUAAAAUGCUGCCUCUGCCUAUUUUUGCCUAUUCCAAAGAAGGUUCUGCUGGCUAAAGCCAAACAAAACAUUUUGUACCAUUCCACCCAGCCAGCUGCAAUAGCCUUGAUGUAAAAAUCCCUAUGAUUUCCCUAGGGCAUUACUUUUGCCACCUGCCUGGAUUCCCUGAGCCUGACAGUAAGCACAGGGAUUUUCACUGUGACAAAUGGGGUGAGUUCACCAAGUAUUGCCUCACAAGGAGGAAAAAAUAUAAAAUAAAAUAUAAAAUAAAAUUAAAAAAAUAAAAUAAAACAAAAUAAAAUAAAAUACAAUAAAUAAAAUAAAAUACAAAUUAAAUUAAAUUAAAUUAAAUUAAAUAAAACAUUCCCACUUGUUCUCUGCCCUAACUUGCAGUGUUUGAACCUGUGACAAUGAGGUGGCUGCUGCUGGCAGCCACAGCUCACGGUGCUCUGGUGGGGGUGGAGGAUGAGGCUGAGUGAAUUCAAGAUUUUGCGUCUUAAGUAUGGUUUCUACUGCUGUGCUUCAAGGACAAUUUUAAAUUCUUGGUACGCCACAGGACUAAAGAUGAAGCUAAAAUUUCUGAUAUAAAGGCAGAAAACAGCCUGAGAGGUUUACAAAAAGGCCAUAGGAACCCCAGCUUCAGUUGCAGCAGUACUGUUCAAAUCAAGCCUCAAACAGAGGAAACAGCCUGCAGCAGAUGAUGCUCUAAUCUCCCUUUGGCAUCUCCCUGCCAGUUGCCAAUGCAGCCAUGUGCACAUCUGAGAGCAAAUUUUCUAGGACAGCACUGCGAGAGCAAAGUCUGGAGAAGUGCAUUAAGAGAGAGGUGUUGAGGGAGCUGAGGUGCCAAGGAGAGAACUGCUGGGAAUGCUCUGCACAUGAGAACACUCCAUGAAUCCAUUAUAAAUGAGACUGAUCUCUCAUCCAUACAUCAGGAGCCUUCCUCGCUCCAAAACCUGUGCUGCUCUCUAUCCUGUCUCAUAUGGGAGGUGAUACUGAUGAGCAGAAAAAAGGUAUGUUUGCUUCACAUGCUGUUUUUGGAUAGAGAGCACGGGUUGUGGAGGUGCAGAAGGAAACACAGGAGCUGCCUUCACUAACAAAGAAAUGCAGAUUUCCAAACCAUCUCUGCCCAGCCCCCAGUGGGAGCUUUUGUUUCUGUGUUGGCUUGGAAUUUGUAGUUGGUCUUGUCAAAAGAUGAUGGUUGUGCUGGAAAUUAAUUAUCAGCAGCCUCUGGUUGACCGAUUGAGGGGUUUUGGUGGGAGUUUUUUGUUCUUUAACCAAAUUUUGAAAAUGGGCCUUCAUAGAAAUACGACCAUAUCAAAUUAUAGUGAGGUCCUCUUGUGCCCUGCACUUGAGCCUUGCCAAGAGGGGUCAAAAAUGUGCACAAACAUUACUUAAAUGUUGCCGGGGUUUUCCCCGCAGACUGAACAGACCUGCAAAGACAGGCAAAGUCGGCAUUUCAAAAGAUGAUGAUUUUUAAUGGAGGCUGGGUCAGAGCCACAGCUUUGAUGAUAACAUCACCCUGUCCAGCAAGUGCCCUGAGCCUGAUUUACAGCACCAUCAGCAAGCGCUGCCUUGUGCCUCUUGUGGAAGGGCUAAGGGAGGGCACAAGGGGAGAAAACAGCGUUUUGUCACGGCUCGCUUUGCACGGGCUGUGAAAGUCCCGUCGGUGUGAUGGAAGUGGGGGAGAGGAGCGGCUGGCGGCGAUGCCUCGGGCCCCGAACUGCCGAGGUGGCAGCGCCCGCAGCCGCGCUCCUUCCCCCAGCAUCAUUCCCGCUGCCCCGGUAUCCUUCCCGCUGCCCCCAGCAUCAUUCCCGCUGCCCCGGCAUCCUUCCCGCUGCCCCGCUAUCCUUCCCGUUGCCC
This is a long non-coding RNA of Prinia subflava (tawny-flanked prinia), 6559 nucleotides long. RefSeq lists it as uncharacterized. The transcript is spliced from 5 exons. Lineage: Eukaryota; Metazoa; Chordata; Aves; Passeriformes; Cisticolidae. The record is from RefSeq and is a predicted model, not a curated record.